GCAGACACAUUCCAGCCAAUCAGCAGCAGACCCUCCCUCCCAGACCCUACCACCUCCUGGUCAGCAUCCAUUUUACAUUCAUUGUGAAGCUGCAUUCUUAAUGAGCUGUCCAGGAGGUGGGAGGGUCUGGGAGGGAGGGUCUGCUGCUGAUUGACUGGAAUGUGUCUG
RNAcentral lists this microRNA precursor (168 nucleotides) under Pelobates cultripes (western spadefoot toad). Lineage: Eukaryota; Metazoa; Chordata; Amphibia; Anura; Pelobatidae. The record is from RNAcentral.